AUGGUCGCCGGCUGUGUCAUCACCGACGAGUGCACCCUGGCGGUGUCCACAGAGCGGAUGUGGAAGGUGGUCUUCUCCGGCGAGGACACGGCCGCCCUGCCCCAGGCCUGCGCGGGCUUCAUCGACGCCGUGGACGUCGAGGGCGACGGCGGACCCGGCAGCGUCUCCACCAUGACGCUCAGCCCGGCGGCAGCGGAGCUCGCAGGCUCGGGCGUGAUGAGGAGCCGCCUGGUGGCGCGCGACAACGCGGCCCGGGUGCUCAAGACGGAGGUGCUGGAGGGCAGCAAGGUGAGCGGCCAGCUCAAGUCGCAGGUGGCCGAGGUGAAGCUCGAGGCGGCCGGGGAGGGUGCUUGCGUGGCGAAGCUCAGGGUGGAGUACGAGAGGCUCGACGGCGGCGGGGCGCUGUCGGCGGAGGACCGGGCGACGCUCGCCGCGGGGUACCUCGACCUGCUCAAGAUGGUCGAGGCAUACCUGGUGGCGCACCCCGCCGAGUACGCCUAA
RNAcentral lists this ribosomal RNA (501 nucleotides) under Triticum aestivum (bread wheat). RNAcentral describes it as "partial small subunit ribosomal RNA". The record is from RNAcentral. Lineage: Eukaryota; Viridiplantae; Streptophyta; Magnoliopsida; Poales; Poaceae.